This 253-nucleotide ribosomal RNA is filed under the name uncultured bacterium. RNAcentral's name for it is "partial 16S ribosomal RNA". It matches the Rfam family "Bacterial small subunit ribosomal RNA", at positions 524 to 776 of the family's 1533-position model. The record is from RNAcentral.
UACGUAGGGGGCAAGCGUUGUCCGGAAUCAUUGGGCGUAAAGCGUGCGCAGGCGGUUCGUGAUGUCUGAUGUGAAAGCCCCGGGCUCAACCUGGGAACUGCAUUGGAAACUAGCGGGCUGGAGUGUGGCAGAGGGGGGUGGAAUUCCACGUGUAGCAGUGAAAUGCGUAGAGAUGUGGAGGAACACCGAUGGCGAAGGCAGCCCCCUGGGCUAACACUGACGCUCAUGCACGAAAGCGUGGGGAGCAAACAGG